RNAcentral lists this ribosomal RNA (497 nucleotides) under uncultured bacterium. Its description in RNAcentral is "partial 16S ribosomal RNA". It matches the Rfam family "Bacterial small subunit ribosomal RNA", at positions 28 to 507 of the family's 1533-position model. The record is from RNAcentral.
GAUGAACGCUGGCGGCGUGCCUAAUACAUGCAAGUCGAGCGAACGGACGAGAAGCUUGCUUCUCUGAUGUUAGCGGCGGACGGGUGAGUAACACGUGGAUAACCUACCUAUAAGACUGGGAUAACUUCGGGAAACCGGAGCUAAUACCGGAUAAUAUUUUGAACCGCAUGGUUCAAAAGUGAAAGACGGUCUUGCUGUCACUUAUAGAUGGAUCCGCGCUGCAUUAGCUAGUUGGUAAGGUAACGGCUUACCAAGGCAACGAUGCAUAGCCGACCUGAGAGGAUGAUCGGCCACACUGGACCUGAGCCACGGUCCAGACUCCUACGGGAGGCAGCAGUAGGGAAUCUUCCGCAAUGGGCGAAAGCCUGACGGAGCAACGCCGCGUGAGUGAUGAAGGUCUUCGGAUCGUAAAACUCUGUUAUUAGGGAAGAACAUAUGUGUAAGUAACUGUGCACAUCUUGACGGUACCUAAUCAGAAAGCCACGGCUAACUACGUG